Molecule: long non-coding RNA, 1738 nt
Filed under: Oryctolagus cuniculus (rabbit)
Lineage: Eukaryota; Metazoa; Chordata; Mammalia; Lagomorpha; Leporidae
Description: lncRNA (ENSOCUG00000030251.1)
Source: RNAcentral
AAUGUUGCUAUGGCUCUAAAUAGGCUGGCAGUACAUUGAAAACAGAUGUUUUUGGGUUGGAAGUGGGGGCUGUUAAUUACUAUUCAUAAGCAUAUGAUACGUUUAUGGAAUACUUUUCUAACAUUGCACAUGAUACUGUAAAUCAGGAUUCCUGAACAAAAACAUUGGAUAGAUAAAUGGAUGCAUUUUUAUAAGAUGACAUUUUUCAAAGAUAGUAUCAAAAUUAAAAAAAAAAACAGAAUAAAUAUCCACAUAUAUUUGAAUGGAGGCAAAGUCUAAUUUUAAUGAACACAUUCAGAUGAUGAUCUUAAAUCUGGAAUAGAUAUAAUAAAAAGAUAACAGGAUAUUUUGCCAUGGGGGUCCUUGCUUGGUCUUUCAGGAGGUGUGACACAAAUCCUUCAGGAUAUUUUAACUGAAACUGCAAUCUAUAGAAGUAGAAAGUCCAGAUGUCUAAGGACACUGUAAUGACAAUGAGGCCCAGGAAAAUAGCCAGCUUUCUUCACAGAACUGGGUUUCUGUGGCACUGGGUACAUGACAAGAACAAUGUCUGUAAGAGACUUCCCUGGGUGUGACCUGGUGAGCAGGAAAAGAAUGGCCUCAGAGGGCAGAGGAAACAACACAUGGACAUGGAGCAACUGUAUUCAGGACAAAGUAAGCUUGGUGACCACUUCAUCAUCAUCAUCAUCAUCAUCAUCAUCAUCAUCAUCUGCAUUUAUCAUCAUCACUUCCAUGAGUUGAAAAUUAGGCUCUGUGCUAACAAUUGAAACCUGUUAUUCCAUUUAAUCCUUGCAAAUGAAUUAUGCGGCUGUUAUGGCCUCUGGUUAUCUAAGUGAAGAAAAUGAGACUCAUCCAGUUUAAAUAACUUGCCUGGUUUCAAUUAACCAGUACAUAAGCUGUAUGCCCAGGACUUAGAGUCUAGGACAAGCAGAUCCAGAUUCUGACAGGACAGAGAACAACUCAGAGCCAUUUGUGGGUUUGAAUCUCCUUUACUCACAGUGGCAGUGAGAAACGCACAAGGAACAGCCACUUGCCUCCUGAUAGCAGUGUGGCCACAGGAGAUGUCCUCCUUUGUGUUUACGGUGGCGGUUUGCCACACAUACAGACAUGUACACACAUCCACACAUAGGCAGCUGCAUACACCCACACAUCCAUCCCCAGGCAGCCGCACCUAGCUGUGCUCCCCAGUUGCUCAUGUGAGUUUAUAAACAAAGGUGGCUUAAGCCCAAACUGUUACAUACCAGUCUUGUGGGCAGUGAGUCCAGCAGGUAGACCUGUCAGUUGCCAAGGAGAAACAGAGAUAUGGGAACACAGAGAUAAGGGGGCAGGGGCAAAAAGGUGUGAGAAUUUAAUAUCUCCACCUUCCCAGAUUCAUCAUCUCAAUAGCAACGACAGCAUUUGAUUGACUCCAAAAGUCCAUGCUCUUAGUCUCUCUACUAUAGUGUUUUACUUUUCCCUUCUCUGAGCUUCAGUUCACUCAGCUUGGUGAACGAGGAACAGCUUCUCUCUACUGCUAAGUCUGGUUCUUAAGUUUCUUCCAGCUUCCCCGCCACUACCCUACAACAGCCCUGAGGAUAUCUCAGAUCCUGGAAAUACUUCCUGCCCUCCAGUGCACCCCCUCAAUUUUCAUUUUUUUACAAAGAUUAUUUUUAUUCCCUUGAUAGUCUUUCUAGUGUCCACUUAGGCCUUAUUAUAAUUUUUAGGACUGCCUCUCACCUCCUAGGGGCUACAGUUAAAUUAU